GAUGAACGCUAGCUACAGGCUUAACACAUGCAAGUCGAGGGGCAUCAGGAAGAAAGCUUGCUUUCUUUGCUGGCGACCGGCGCACGGGUGAGUAACACGUAUCCAACCUGCCCUUUACUCGGGGAUAGCCUUUCGAAAGAAAGAUUAAUACCCGAUAGCAUAAUGAUUCCGCAUGGUUUCAUUAUUAAAGGAUUCCGGUAAAGGAUGGGGAUGCGUUCCAUUAGGUUGUUGGUGAGGUAACGGCCCACCAAGCCUUCGAUGGAUAGGGGUUCUGAGAGGAAGGUCCCCCACAUUGGAACUGAGACACGGUCCAAACUCCUACGGGAGGCAGCAGUGAGGAAUAUUGGUCAAUGGGCGUUAGCUGAACCAGCCAAGUAGCGUGAAGGAUGAAGGCUCUAUGGGUCGUAAACUUCUUUUAUAUAAGAAUAAAGUGCAGUAUGUAAACUGUUUGGUAUGUAUUAUAUGAAUAAGGAUCGGGCUAACUCCGUGCCAGCAGCCGCGGUAAUACGGAGGAUCCGAGCGUUAUCCGGAUUUAUUGGGUUUAAAGGGAGCGUAGGUGGACUGGUAAGUCAGUUGUGAAAGUUUGCGGCUCAACCGUAAAAUUGCAGUUGAUACUGUCAGUCUUGAGUACAGUAGAGGUGGGCGGAAUUCGUGGUGUAGCGGUGAAAUGCUUAGAUAUCACGAAGAACUCCGAUUGCGAAGGCAGCUCACUGGACUGCAACUGACACUGAUGCUCGAAAGUGUGGGUAUCAAACAGGAUUAGAUACCCUGGUAGUCCACACAGUAAACGAUGAAUACUCGCUGUUUGCGAUAUACAGUAAGCGGCCAAGCGAAAGCAUUAAGUAUUCCACCUGGGGAGUACGCCGGCAACGGUGAAACUCAAAGGAAUUGACGGGGGCCCGCACAAGCGGAGGAACAUGUGGUUUAAUUCGAUGAUACGCGAGGAACCUUACCCGGGCUUAAAUUGCAGUGGAAUGAUGUGGAAACAUGUCAGUGANCAAUCACCGCUGUGAAGGUGCUGCAUGGUUGUCAUCAGCUCGUGCCGUGAGGUGUCGGCUUAAGUGCCAUAACGAGCGCAACCCUUAUCUUCAGUUACUAACAGGUUAUGCUGAGGACUCUGGAGAGACUGCCGUCGUAAGAUGUGAGGAAGGUGGGGAUGACGUCAAAUCAGCACGGCCCUUACGUCCGGGGCUACACACGUGUUACAAUGGGGGGUACAGAAGGCAGCUAGCGGGUGACCGUAUGCUAAUCCCAAAAUCCUCUCUCAGUUCGGAUCGAAGUCUGCAACCCGACUUCGUGAAGCUGGAUUCGCUAGUAAUCGCGCAUCAACCACGGCGCGGUGAAUACGUUCCCGGGCCUUGUACACACCGCCCGUCAAGCCAUGGGAGCCGGGGGGUACCCUGAAAUACCUUAACCCCAAGGGAUCGUCCUAAGGUAAAACUGGUGACUGGGGC
This 1454-nucleotide ribosomal RNA is filed under the name bacterium ic1258. RNAcentral describes it as "16S ribosomal RNA". It matches the Rfam family "Bacterial small subunit ribosomal RNA". The record is from RNAcentral.